GUGGCUAUUCAGUCGUGGGGGUGAGAGGUUACUAUCGCUCCUUGUUGAAGUGACUACGUCUUUUGGCGAGCUACGGAUGCUAACAAAAAAUGAGACGUCACUGUUGUCAUUCUUUGGUAGUACCUCACGCAAGAAGUCUGCUCUCCAACAACAGACAAUUCAUCAUCAACAGCUCAGUGAAGUACAACCAUUGAGUCUUCUAACCACUCUGCUGUCGCUAUUGAAGAAAUACCUGCUCACAAGCUAUCAAACAAUUGCAACUGUUGACUUUACCGAGUUUCUAUAUUUUGCAAAUAAUUCUGUUCUGUAAAUCAAAAUGUGCCCUAACAAGGGACCGAGACAUACAUAAAUAUGAGACAAGAGGCAGAGACAGCUACUGAACUGACUGGUGUUCAUUUAAUCAACAGAUUGCCAGAUUCCACCAAAAGUGCCCUAACGCCCAGAGUGUUAAGAGUUUGUCUCAAAGCAUGAGACGUUUUUUAGUCUCAAAGCAUUUUAUAAUUACGGCGAAUUUAUGGCACACAAGAAGGGACCGAUCUUUUACAAGACUGACCCCGACAAUGGAAAAUGAUAGCAUUGGCGAAUGAAUGAGCCUGAAUGAAUACGAAAUCUGUAUGUAUGAAAGUCUAUGUUGGUAUAUAAACCAAAAUUAUUGUAAUUUAAAUUCCUAGACGUUUGCGAUACUUGUCAACAUGUUUUUGCAAUAAAAAUUUGGUUUUUACUAGA
Homalodisca vitripennis (glassy-winged sharpshooter) is the source of this 726-nucleotide long non-coding RNA. RefSeq lists it as uncharacterized. Lineage: Eukaryota; Metazoa; Arthropoda; Insecta; Hemiptera; Cicadellidae. The record is from RefSeq and is a predicted model, not a curated record. The transcript has 2 exons.